GAUCCUGGCUCAGGACGAACGCUGGCGGCGUGCCUAACACAUGCAAGUCGAACGAAGCUCUGCGAUACAAGACUUCGGUCAAGUUGAACGGAUGACUUAGUGGCGGACGGGUGAGUAACGCGUGAGGAACCUGCCGUUUCAGUGGGGGGACAAACAGUUGGAAACGACUGCUAAUACCGCAUAAUGUAUUCUGACCGCAUGAUCGGAAUACCAAAGAUUUAUUGCUGAAAAGAUCGGCCUCG
RNAcentral lists this ribosomal RNA (242 nucleotides) under uncultured bacterium. RNAcentral's name for it is "partial 16S ribosomal RNA". It matches the Rfam family "Bacterial small subunit ribosomal RNA", at positions 15 to 233 of the family's 1533-position model. The record is from RNAcentral.